This 468-nucleotide ribosomal RNA is filed under the name uncultured bacterium. RNAcentral describes it as "partial 16S ribosomal RNA". It matches the Rfam family "Bacterial small subunit ribosomal RNA", at positions 28 to 507 of the family's 1533-position model. The record is from RNAcentral.
GACGAACGCUGGCGGCGUGCUUAACACAUGCAAGUCGAACGGAAAGGCCCUGCUUUUGUGGGGUGCUCGAGUGGCGAACGGGUGAGUAACACGUGAGUAACCUGCCCUUGACUUUGGGAUAACUUCAGGAAACUGGGGCUAAUACCGGAUAGGAGCACCUGCUGCAUGGUGGGGGUUGGAAAGUUUCGGCGGUCGGGGACGGACUCGCGGCUUAUCAGCCUGUUGGUGGGGGAUUGGCUUACCAAGGCUUUGACGGGUAGCCGGCAUGAGAGGGUGACCGACAAAAGUAGAACUGAGAUACGGCCAAGAAACCUAGGGGAGGCAGCAGUGGGGAAAAUUACACAGUGGGCCGAAGCAUAGUGCAGAAACGGCGCGCGCGAGAUGCCGGCCGUCGGGUUGGAUACAGCCUUCGCCUGUAACGAAGCGUGAUUGACGGUAAUGGGUAGAGAAGCACCGGCUAACUACGUG